This 376-nucleotide long non-coding RNA is filed under the name Setaria viridis. Its description in RNAcentral is "long non-coding RNA (SVIR_LNC001844)". The record is from RNAcentral. Lineage: Eukaryota; Viridiplantae; Streptophyta; Magnoliopsida; Poales; Poaceae.
CCGACCCUCUCUGUUCAUCUGACCCCUUUUCUAUCUCGCCCGACCCUCUCUGUUUGUCCGACCCCUUUUCCGUCUCGCCCGGCCCUCUCUGUUCGUCCGACCCCUUUUUCCAUCUUGCCCGACCCUCUCUGUUUGUCCGACCCCUUUUCCGUCUCGCCCGGCCCGCUCUAUUUCGCCGACCCUUUUCCGCGUCGCCCGAGGACUCGGCUGUAUCUUUUUCCUUGACCCGAGGGUAUAUGUGUAAAAAUCGGGGACUUCUCUGCGUUAAGUCUGAGGACCCCCAUCACAGCUAUUCCUUUAGUCUAAGGGUCAGAUCAUAAGUUUCUUCCCAUCCGACCCUUUUACCUUGCUCUCCACCAACUCAAGUGAACUUCCC